RNAcentral lists this ribosomal RNA (252 nucleotides) under uncultured bacterium. RNAcentral's name for it is "partial 16S ribosomal RNA". It matches the Rfam family "Bacterial small subunit ribosomal RNA", at positions 524 to 776 of the family's 1533-position model. The record is from RNAcentral.
UACGAAGGGGCUAGCGUUGCUCGGAAUCACUGGGCGUAAAGGGUGCGUAGGCGGGUCUUUAAGUCAGGGGUGAAAUCCUGGAGCUCAACUCCAGAACUGCCUUUGAUACUGAGGAUCUUGAGUACGGGAGAGGUGAGUGGAACUGCGAGUGUAGAGGUGAAAUUCGUAGAUAUUCGCAAGAACACCAGUGGCGAAGGCGGCUCACUGGCCCGUAACUGACGCUGAGGCACGAAAGCGUGGGGAGCAAACAGG